This 359-nucleotide transfer RNA is filed under the name Microcystis sp. BrG07. RNAcentral describes it as "16S-23S ribosomal RNA intergenic spacer". The stretch from base 135 to 208 matches the Rfam family "tRNA". The record is from RNAcentral. Lineage: Bacteria; Bacillati; Cyanobacteriota; Cyanophyceae; Chroococcales; Microcystaceae.
AAGGGAGACCUAAUUCAGGUAGGCGACGAAAAAAAAGUAGUCGCUACCAAGAAUCAAUCCCAAAAGAUCGGAGCGAGGCAAGAUUGGCUUUCAAACUAGGUUCUGGGUUCACACAAGACCUGAAUCAGGAACAAGGGCUAUUAGCUCAGGUGGUUAGAGCGCACCCCUGAUAAGGGUGAGGUCCCUGGUUCGAGUCCAGGAUGGCCCACCUGCACAGGUGGAAAAAAGAAAAGAAGCUCCGAAUCAGCACCUUAUCUUACUUAUAUAGUAAGAGAGAAUGCUGGCUCUGAGUUCAGAGUCCAGAGGAACCUUGAAAACUGCAUAGAGCUAGGUGAAAAAGCCAAAAAAGAAGACCGCAA